UACCUUUAAAUGAAAGCGAGAAACUUUUUCACCAAUCAAUAACAACAUUAAGCAUGACUCUAGUCACUCAUGCUCCACCUGAAUGUAAAGGAAAGUAUAAAAGGUGAACUAAGGAUGAAGAACUUUGGGGRGAAGACUCCAUCAUAACUCUUGGGUCGGUCGAUGCGCUGAUUCCCCUUCCCUCCCCUCGGACUGGAAUAUUGCCUGGGAAGACUAACAACUGAGAGGGAAGAAUCCAUCAUUGCUCUYGGGUCAGUCUACGGGCUGAUCCCUCUUCCCCCACUGUGAGCUGAGAUGCCGCCUGAGGAGAUUCGAGACUGAGAGCCCUCUCCCAUCUUCURGGAGGCUGAAGAAAGAAAGCAAAUUUUGGAAAGGAGGAGGGCGCCCUCCCCCGUUUCUCCUCAUUACAUGCAAGACAGGGCCAAUGAAUUUCUGAUGAAUUACAGUGUCAAAAAAUCUGAAAAAAAUAUUGAGACCAGAUUCAAGUAGUUUUACUGCAACAGCCAAACUGUUGACCCAGAUUCAGGCACAAACAAUUCUCAGAGUGCAUAUCUUUAAAGAGAAUAUGAAAAAAAACAUAAUUCGUCUGUCCACUUUUUUCCUUCAUCUAAAUAACCUUCCUCCCACAAGAACACACAUACAAGUAUGCACCAGCUUUCUCACAGUAUCUAAUCAAAGAAAGGCUGAGACAGUUGGAUUUCUCAGCAUGGAGAAAACUGAGCAAAGAUCUUAUAGCUGGAUUGCUCAACAUGGAGAAAAUGGAGCAAAGAUCUUAUCAGUGYGUACAAAUACCUGAUGCAGAAGUGCCUAGUGAUAGGAAGAGAGGAAACCGUCACAAGCAGAAACAAAGAAAAUUCCGCCUGAAAAUAUGGGCUUUGCAUUAUCAGAGGGGCUGUAGACUCGCCUUCUUUGGAGAUACUCAAAAGCCAUCUGGAGACACUCCCCAUCAACCUGCUCUUGGUGACCCUCGUUGAGCAGAGGAUUUGGAC
Nothoprocta perdicaria is the source of this 989-nucleotide long non-coding RNA. RefSeq lists it as uncharacterized. The record is from RefSeq and is a predicted model, not a curated record. The transcript is spliced from 5 exons. Lineage: Eukaryota; Metazoa; Chordata; Aves; Tinamiformes; Tinamidae.